This 2432-nucleotide ribosomal RNA is filed under the name Staphylococcus aureus. Its description in RNAcentral is "partial 23S ribosomal RNA". It matches the Rfam family "Bacterial large subunit ribosomal RNA", at positions 80 to 2499 of the family's 2925-position model. Lineage: Bacteria; Bacillati; Bacillota; Bacilli; Caryophanales; Staphylococcaceae. The record is from RNAcentral.
GGGGAGCUGUAAGUAAGCUUUGAUCCAGAGAUUUCCGAAUGGGGAAACCCUCUAUCCGUAAUGGGAUAGAAUCUUUACCUGAAUACAUAGGGUACUGAAGGCAGACCCGGGGAACUGAAACAUCUAAGUACCCGGAGGAAGAGAAAGCAAACGCGAUUCCCUGAGUAGCGGCGAGCGAAACGGGAUUAGCCCAAACCAAGAGGCUUGCCUCUUGGGGUUGUAGGACACUCUAUAUGGAGUUACAAAGGAACGGGGUAGACGAAUCGAUCUGGAAAGGUCAGUCGUAGAAGGUAAAAACCCUGUAGUCGAAACUUCGUUCCCUCUUGAGUGUAUCCUGAGUACGGCGGGACACGAGAAAUCCCGUCGGAAGCAGGGAGGACCAUCUCCCAAGGCUAAAUACUCCCUAGUGACCGAUAGUGAACCAGUACCGUGAGGGAAAGGUGAAAAGCACCCCGGAAGGGGAGUGAAAUAGAUCCUGAAACCGUGUGCCUACAAGUAGUUAGAGCCCAUUUAUGGGUGAUAGCGUGCCUUUUGUAGAAUGAACCGGCGAGUUACGAUUACAUGCGAGGUUAAGUUGAUAAGACGGAGCCGCAGCGAAAGCGAGUCUGAAUAGGGCGAAAUAGUAUGUGGUUGUAGACCCGAAACCAGGUGAUCUACCCAUGUCCAGGGUGAAGUCCAGGUAACACUGGAUGGAGGCCCGAACCCACGCACGUUGAAAAGUGCGGGGAUGAGGUGUGGGUAGCGGAGAAAUUCCAAUCGAACUUGGAGAUAGCUGGUUCUCUCCGAAAUAGCUUUAGGGCUAGCCUCAAGAUUUAGAGUAUUGGAGGUAGAGCACUGUUUGGACUAGGGGCCCCCAUCGGGUUACCGAAUUCAGACAAACUCCGAAUGCCAAAUACUUAUUCUUGGGAGUCAGACUACGAGUGAUAAGAUCCGUGGUCAAGAGGGAAACAGCCCAGACCACCAGCUAAGGUCCCAAAGUAUACGUUAAGUGGAAAAGGAUGUGGAGUUGCUUAGACAACCAGGAUGUUGGCUUAGAAGCAGCCACCAUUUAAAGAGUGCGUAAUAGCUCACUGGUCGAGUGACUCUGCGCCGAAAAUGUACCGGGGCUAAACGUAUCACCGAAGCUGUGGAUUGACAUCUAUGAUGUCAGUGGUAGGAGAGCGUUCUAAGGGCGUUGAAGCUAGACCGUAAGGACUGGUGGAGCGCUUAGAAGUGAGAAUGCCGGUAUGAGUAGCGAAAGAUGAGUGAGAAUCUCAUCCACCGAAUGCCUAAGGUUUCCUGAGGAAGGCUCGUCCGCUCAGGGUUAGUCGGGACCUAAGCCGAGGCUGAAAAGCGUAGGCGAUGGACAACAGGUUGAUAUUCCUGUACCACCUUUAAAUCAUUUGAGCAAUGGGGGGACGCAGGAGGAUAGGGUAAGCGUGCUGUUGGAUUAGCACGUCCAAGCAGUUAGGCCGGUAAUGAGGCAAAUCCCAUUACCAUACGGCGGAGCUGUGACGGCGAGGGAAAUAUAGUACCGAAGUUCCUGAUUCCACACUGCCAAGAAAAGCCUCUAGCGAGAUUUAUGGUGCCCGUACCGCAAACCGACACAGGUAGGCGAGGAGAGAAUCCUAAGGUGAGCGAGAGAACUCUCGUUAAGGAACUCGGCAAAAUGACCCCGUAACUUCGGGAGAAGGGGUGCUCUUUUGGGUGUUAAAGCCCGAGAGAGCCGCAGUGAAUAGGCCCAGGCGACUGUUUAGCAAAAACACAGGUCUCUGCGAAGCCGCAAGGCGAAGUAUAGGGGCUGACACCUGCCCGGUGCUGGAAGGUUAAGAGGAGGGGUUAGCACGUAAGUGCGAAGCUCUGAAUUGAAGCCCCAGUAAACGGCGGCCGUAACUAUAACGGUCCUAAGGUAGCGAAAUUCCUUGUCGGGUAAGUUCCGACCCGCACGAAAGGUGUAACGAUCUGGGCACUGUCUCAACGAGAGACUCGGUGAAAUUAUAGUACCUGUGAAGAUGCAGGUUACCCGCGACAGGACGGAAAGACCCCGUGGAGCUUUACUGCAGCCUGAUAUUGAAUUUUGGUACAGCUUGUACAGGAUAGGUAGGAGCCUUGGAAGCCGGAGCGCUAGCUUCGGUGGAGGCAUUGGUGGGAUACUACCCUGGCUGUAUUGACAUUCUAACCCGCACCCCUUAUCGGGGUGGGAGACAGUGUCAGGUGGGCAGUUUGACUGGGGCGGUCGCCUCCUAAAAAGUAACGGAGGCGCCCAAAGGUUCCCUCAGAAUGGUUGGAAAUCAUUCGUAGAGUGUAAAGGCACAAGGGAGCUUGACUGCGAGACCUACAAGUCGAGCAGGGACGAAAGUCGGGCUUAGUGAUCCGGUGGUUCCGCAUGGAAGGGCCAUCGCUCAACGGAUAAAAGCUACCCCGGGGAUAACAGGCUUAUCUCCCCCAAGAGU